GUGAUGUUGGUAGUUCUAUCUCUAUUAUUAGGAUGCAUAGAAAUUGACAUCUAGCAAGAAAUUCUAAUCGAUUGCCUUAUUUUAAUAAUCAUUUAGAUGGCACCUAGCAAGAAAUGGAUGAAUUUUGUGAAUGAUCGAUUGAAUGAAAAAUAUAAAGCUGGCGUGGUUAAAUUUUUGGACUAUGCUUUUUCAAAGAUGGGUGAAGUGUGUGAA
Molecule: long non-coding RNA, 213 nt
Filed under: Salvia miltiorrhiza (redroot sage)
Lineage: Eukaryota; Viridiplantae; Streptophyta; Magnoliopsida; Lamiales; Lamiaceae
Description: long non-coding RNA (SMIL_LNC001658)
Source: RNAcentral